This 941-nucleotide ribosomal RNA is filed under the name uncultured archaeon. RNAcentral's name for it is "bacterial SSU rRNA". It matches the Rfam family "Archaeal small subunit ribosomal RNA", at positions 1 to 923 of the family's 1478-position model. The record is from RNAcentral.
UUCCGGUUGAUCCUGCCGGACCUGACUGCUAUCGGAACGGGAUUAAGCCAUGCGAGUCUGCCAGUCAAAGCACGCUGACUGGCGGCGAACGGCUCAGUAACACGUAGUCAACCUGCCCUUGGGACGAGAACAAUCUCGGGAAACUGAGGCUAAUUCUCGAUAGUUCAAGAUUCCUGGAAUGGGUUUUGGUCUAAAUGUGGUGACAGCAUCUUUGUCAUUUUUCGCCCGAGGAUGGGACUGCGGCCGAUCAGGCUGUUGGUGGGGUAAAGGCCCACCAAACCAGUAACCGGUACGGGCUUUGAGAGAAGGAGCCCGGAGAUGGACACUGAGACAAGGGUCCAGGUCCUACGGGGCGCAGCAGGCGCGAAACCUUCGCAAUGCGCGCAAGCGCGACGAGGUUAUUCCGAGUGAUUCCCGCUGAGGGAGUCUUUUCUCAGAUCUAAAAUGUCUGGGGAAUAAGGGGAGGGCAAGUCUGGUGUCAGCCGCCGCGGUAAUACCAGCUCCUCGAGUGGUCAGGGCGUUUAUUGGGCCUAAAGCAUCCGUAGCCGGCUCAGUAGGUCUCCUGUUAAAUCCAGCGGCUCAACCGUUGGUCUGCAGGAGAUACCGCUGGGCUAGGAGGCGGGAGAGGCGGACGGUACUCCGAGGGUAGGGGUAAAAUCCUUUGAUCCCCGGAAGACCACCAGUGGCGAAGGCGGUCCGCCAGAACGCGCUCGACGGUGAGGGAUGAAAGCUGGGGGAGCGAACCGGAUUAGAUACCCGGGUAGUCCCAGCCGUAAACGAUGCGAGCUAGGUGACACAACGCCUUCGGGGCGUUGUGGUGCCGCAGGGAAGCCGUUAAGCUCGCCGCCUGGGGAGUACGGACGCAAGUCUGAAACUUAAAGGAAUUGGCGGGGAGCACCACAAGGGUGAAGCCUGCGGUUCAAUUGGAGUCAACGCCGGGA